AGUAUAUAUAAAUGUGUGUGUGUGUGUGUCUGUGUGUAUACACACGCACACAUAUAAAUACAUACACACACACACACACACACACACACACAUAUAUAUUUAUUAU
Podarcis lilfordi (Lilford's wall lizard) is the source of this 106-nucleotide non-coding RNA. Lineage: Eukaryota; Metazoa; Chordata; Lepidosauria; Squamata; Lacertidae. The record is from the annotation of a GenBank genome assembly.